AUUGAACGCUGGCGGCAUGCCUUACACAUGCAAGUCGAACGGUAACGGGCCUUCGGGUGCCGACGAGUGGCGAACGGGUGAGUAAUACAUCGGAACGUGCCCGAUCGUGGGGGAUAACGAGGCGAAAGCUUUGCUAAUACCGCAUACGAUCUACGGAUGAAAGCAGGGGACCGCAAGGCCUUGCGCGGACGGAGCGGCCGAUGGCAGAUUAGGUAGUUGGUGGGAUAAAAGCUUACCAAGCCGACGAUCUGUGGCUGGUCUGAGAGGAUGAUCAGCCACACUGGGACUGAGACACGGCCCAGACUCCUACGGGAGGCAGCAGUGGGGAAUUUUGGACAAUGGGCGCAAGCCUGAUCCAGCCAUGCCGCGUGCAGGAUGAAGGCCUUCGGGUUGUAAACUGCUUUUGUACGGAACGAAAAGCCUUCUUUUAAUACAGGAGGGUCAUGACGGUACCGUAAGAAUAAGCACCGGCUAACUACGU
Molecule: ribosomal RNA, 481 nt
Filed under: uncultured bacterium
Lineage: Bacteria
Description: partial 16S ribosomal RNA
Rfam family: Bacterial small subunit ribosomal RNA
Source: RNAcentral